RNAcentral lists this ribosomal RNA (529 nucleotides) under Debaryomyces sp. S422Y8. RNAcentral describes it as "eukaryotic LSU rRNA". The stretch from base 154 to 307 matches the Rfam family "5.8S ribosomal RNA". Lineage: Eukaryota; Fungi; Ascomycota; Pichiomycetes; Serinales; Debaryomycetaceae. The record is from RNAcentral.
CACACAGUGUUUUUUGUUAUUACAAGAACUUUUGCUUUGGUCUGGACUAGAAAUAGUUUGGGCCAGAGGUUUACUGAACUAAACUUCAAUAUUUAUAUUGAAUUGUUAUUUAUUUAAUUGUCAAUUUGUUGAUUAAAUUCAAAAAAUCUUCAAAACUUUCAACAACGGAUCUCUUGGUUCUCGCAUCGAUGAAGAACGCAGCGAAAUGCGAUAAGUAAUAUGAAUUGCAGAUUUUCGUGAAUCAUCGAAUCUUUGAACGCACAUUGCGCCCUCUGGUAUUCCAGAGGGCAUGCCUGUUUGAGCGUCAUUUCUCUCUCAAACCUUCGGGUUUGGUAUUGAGUGAUACUCUUAGUCGAACUAGGCGUUUGCUUGAAAUGUAUUGGCAUGAGUGGUACUGGAUAGUGCUAUAUGACUUUCAAUGUAUUAGGUUUAUCCAACUCGUUGAAUAGUUUAAUGGUAUAUUUCUCGGUAUUCUAGGCUCGGCCUUACAAUAUAACAAACAAGUUUGACCUCAAAUCAGGUAGGAUUA